GAUGAACGCUGGCGGCGUGCUUAACACAUGCAAGUCGAACGGGCUUAUAUUGAAACCUAGUGAUAUAUAAGUUAGUGGCGGACGGGUGAGUAACGCGUGGAGAACCUGCCCUGCACAGGGGGAUAACACUUAGAAAUAGGUGCUAAGACCGCAUAAGCGCACGGGACCGCAUGGUGCAGUGUGAAAAAUGGAAACAUGGUGCAGGAUGGCUCCGCGUCUGAUUAGCUGGUUGGCGGGGUAACGGCCCACCAAGGCGACGAUCAGUAGCCGGCCUGAGAGGGUGACCGGCCACAUUGGGACUGAGACACGGCCCAA
RNAcentral lists this ribosomal RNA (315 nucleotides) under uncultured bacterium. RNAcentral describes it as "bacterial SSU rRNA". It matches the Rfam family "Bacterial small subunit ribosomal RNA", at positions 28 to 334 of the family's 1533-position model. The record is from RNAcentral.